Molecule: ribosomal RNA, 502 nt
Filed under: Phomopsis sp. R1-6-2
Lineage: Eukaryota; Fungi; Ascomycota; Sordariomycetes; Diaporthales; Diaporthaceae
Description: eukaryotic LSU rRNA
Rfam family: 5.8S ribosomal RNA (bases 166-319)
Source: RNAcentral
CAGGCGCACCCAGAAACCCUUUGUGAACUUAUACCUUACUGUUGCCUCGGCGCAUGCCGGCCCCCAGGGGCCCCUCGGAGACGAGGAGCAGGCACGCCGGCGGCCAAGUUAACUCUUGUUUUUACACUGAAACUCUGAGAAAAAAAAAAAAAAAAAAUGAAUCAAAACUUUCAACAACGGAUCUCUUGGUUCUGGCAUCGAUGAAGAACGCAGCGAAAUGCGAUAAGUAAUGUGAAUUGCAGAAUUCAGUGAAUCAUCGAAUCUUUGAACGCACAUUGCGCCCUCCGGUAUUCCGGAGGGCAUGCCUGUUCGAGCGUCAUUUCAACCCUCAAGCACUGCUUGGUGUUGGGGCACUGCUCCUCUCGCGGGGAGCAGGCCCUGAAAUUCAGUGGCGAGCUCGCCAGGACCCCGAGCGCAGUAGUUAAACCCUCGCUCUGGAAGGCCCUGGCGGUGCCCUGCCGUUAAACCCCCAACUCUUGAAAAUUUGACCUCGGAUCAGGUA